UACGGGGGGGGCAAGCGUUGUUCGGAAUUACUGGGCGUAAAGGGCGCGUAGGCGGCCAUCUAAGUCAGACGUGAAAUCCCCCGGCUUAACCUGGGAACUGCGUCUGAUACUGGAAGGCUUGAGUAUGGGAGAGGGAUGUAGAAUUCCAGGUGUAGCGGUGAAAUGCGUAGAUAUCUGGAGGAAUACCGGUGGCGAAGGCGGCAUCCUGGACCAUUACUGACGCUGAGGCACGAAGGUCAGGGGAGCAAACGGG
Molecule: ribosomal RNA, 253 nt
Filed under: uncultured bacterium
Lineage: Bacteria
Description: partial 16S ribosomal RNA
Rfam family: Bacterial small subunit ribosomal RNA
Source: RNAcentral